AGUGAACGCUGGCGGUAGGCCUAACACAUGCAAGUCGAACGGCAGCACAGUAAGAGCUUGCUCUUACGGGUGGCGAGUGGCGGACGGGUGAGGAAUACAUCGGAAUCUACUUUUUCGUGGGGGAUAACGUAGGGAAACUUACGCUAAUACCGCAUACGACCUACGGGUGAAAGCAGGGGAUCUUCGGACCUUGCGCGAUUGAAUGAGCCGAUGUCGGAUUAGCUAGUUGGCGGGGUAAAGGCCCGCCAAGGCGACGAUCCGUAGCUGGUCUGAGAGGAUGAUCCGCCACACUGGAACUGAGACACGGUCCAGACUCCUACGGGAGGCAGCAGUGGGGAAUAUUGGACAAUGGGCGCAAGCCUGAUCCAGCCAUACCGCGUGGGUGAAGAAGGCCUUCGGGUUGUAAAGCCCUUUUGUUGGGAAAGAAAAGCAGCAGGUUAAUACCCCGCUGUUCUGACGGUACCCAAAGAAUAAGCACCGGCUAACUUCGUG
This 492-nucleotide ribosomal RNA is filed under the name uncultured bacterium. RNAcentral describes it as "partial 16S ribosomal RNA". It matches the Rfam family "Bacterial small subunit ribosomal RNA", at positions 29 to 507 of the family's 1533-position model. The record is from RNAcentral.